This 508-nucleotide ribosomal RNA is filed under the name uncultured bacterium. RNAcentral's name for it is "partial 16S ribosomal RNA". It matches the Rfam family "Bacterial small subunit ribosomal RNA", at positions 28 to 507 of the family's 1533-position model. The record is from RNAcentral.
GACGAACGCUGGCGGCGUGCUUAACACAUGCAAGUCGAACGGGCCUUGUCCCCUUUUUUUUUGGGGGUGGGGUUAGUGGCGAACGGGUGAGUAACACGUGAGUAACCUGCCCCUCACUUCUGGAUAACCGCUUGAAAGGGUGGCUAAUACGGGGUGUUCUGGCCUGCUCGCAUGGGUGGGUUUGGAAAGAUUCGACCGGUUUUGGUUGUUUUGGUGGGGGAUGGGCUCGCGGCCUAUCAGCUUGUUGGUGGGGUGAUGGCCUGCCAAGGCUUUGACGGGUAGCCGGCCUGAGAGGGUGGGCGGUCACACUGGGACUGAGACACGGCCCAGACUGCUACGGGAGGCAGCAGUGGGGAAUAUUGCACAAUGGGCGCAAGCCUGAUGCAGCGACGCCGCGUGAGGGAUGGAGGCCUUCGGGUUGUGAACCUCUUUCGCCAGUGAAGAAGGUCCUGCUCUUUGUGGUGGGGUUGACGGUAGCUGGGUUAAUGAAGCGCCGGCUAACUACGUG